This 28-nucleotide non-coding RNA is filed under the name Homo sapiens (human). The record is from RNAcentral. Lineage: Eukaryota; Metazoa; Chordata; Mammalia; Primates; Hominidae.
AUGGUGUUCAACGAGGGCGAGGCCCAGC